CAAAAAUGCAGCUCAGACAUCUCCUUACAUGCUGUGCUGGGCUCACAAAUCAGAGGAGCCCCCGUGUGCGUCUGGCACUGGAAGCACCCUCGUGCAAGGGCCGGCUUCCCAGCCAGCAGGGUCCCUCCUCCCAGAGCCUCCCACCUCCUCGCAGCUGCAGGACCCACCAGAGGGGCGGGGAGGUUUCUGGACGAGAAAGUCUGGCUCCACCCCUUCGCCACAGCCCGUGCGGCUCACGAGCAGGGCAGUGGCCAACACCCGGCUGACACCAGCCGUGGCUUCUGUUCCUCCUGUAAGUCUUUUGUACCUGAGAAGAGCAUGAUGUCUUCAUGCUUUAGCCUCCCAAGGUAAACUAGAGGUCUCCGCCGAGGCAGAGAAGAUUUGGCUGCUGAAAUGCGAUCUGAGCAGCCUGUUCCAGCUGCUGCACUGUGGCUGUCCUCGGAACAGGUCAAGGGAGCACAGCACACUCUCUCAUCUCCAGAGACAGUCGGAAGACAGGAUGAACACGGAAAGCUCAGCGAGGAGCUGCAGCCCGCCCACACCUGCCCCUCCAGCCUCACCCUGCUCGGCCACACCGGCCCACCAGGACGCCUUCCCUCCCUCUGCGUCCUUGUCCGCCCACCUCAGGGGGCCUGGCACCGUCCUGCCUGCUGGCCGUCGUUGGUGCUCAGCUCUGCCGCGACCAGGUCUGCCCUCGCCAGCGGGACCCGGGUGCGGCCCUCCUGUGUCUCCUGCCCUGCUUUCCCAAGCAAAGGCUCAGAAAGACCUUUGGCGGGAAAAGACCUGCCCGAAUCCAGGCGGAUCACACUGGAAAAGCCACAGGCCCACCACAGUUCACUUCCUGUUUCUGAGAUCAGAAGAUGUCCACAGCCCCAGGCGACUGUGAGACCCAGUGAGGAGAGGGUGGACGCAGCACGUGGAAGGAGAGGCCUCCGAGGACUUUCCAAGUCAGUGUCCAGGCAGGCAAGGGAGGCGGCCUAGGAACAUCUCUUCUGAGAGGCUUCAGUGCUUGCGUCCCACAGCCACUACUCCGAUUUUCUUUCUCCCCAGUCUCUGGUGGAAGAGGCUGCCAUCCUCAGUUCCAGUACCACGGCACCAAGCUUGCUUCUUCACCGGAUCCUCCUGCUGUGGUGAGUUCUCCACAGAGCUCUCGCAGGCCCAGUGUUCGGUGUUCAUCCUUCACUCAUCUGUCAGCAAGUGUUUAUUGAGUGCCCACCUCUGCCUUAGCUUCUGGGAAUGCAAAUAAGAAAAGCAAGCUCUCGCCUUCACAGCGUUAUUGGUCUGAUCAGUGCUGGCUUUGCAGGUGUCCAGCAUCUGUGGCAACAGGGACCAAGUGUGUAAAUUCAUGCAGGCGCCCAUGGGUAAAUUAUCACAGCUGCAAGAGAGGGUGUGAUGUGGGUGCA
This 1403-nucleotide long non-coding RNA is filed under the name Fukomys damarensis (Damara mole-rat). RNAcentral's name for it is "lncRNA (ENSFDAG00000028752.1)". The record is from RNAcentral. Lineage: Eukaryota; Metazoa; Chordata; Mammalia; Rodentia; Bathyergidae.